GACAGAGGCCUCGAGCGUUAGGCGGAAUCACUGGGCUUAAAGCGUGUGUAGGCGGAUGCCUAAGUACCUUGUGAAAUCCCACGGCUCACCCGUGGAACCGCUGGGUAUACUGGGCAUCUUGGGCCAUUCAGGGGCAACUGGAACAAGCGGUGGAGCGGUGAAAUGCGUAGAUAUCGGGAGGAACACCGGUGGCGAAGGCGGUUCUCUGGGCCUGUACUGACGCUGAGGAGCGAAAGCGUGGGGAGCGAACAGG
This 253-nucleotide ribosomal RNA is filed under the name uncultured bacterium. RNAcentral's name for it is "partial 16S ribosomal RNA". It matches the Rfam family "Bacterial small subunit ribosomal RNA", at positions 524 to 776 of the family's 1533-position model. The record is from RNAcentral.